CAGGGAGAAAACACAUUCACACAACUUUUAUUACAAUAUAGUGCUAUAAUUGUUCUAUUUUAUUAUUCAUUAUUGUUCAUCUCUCAGUGUGCCUAAUUUACAAACUAAACUUUCUCAUAGGCAUGUAUACAUAGGAAAAAAUAAAUAGUACAUACAGGGUUUGGUACUAUCUGAAGUUUCAGGCACCUUCUGGGGGCCCUGUAUCCCCUGCAGAUAAGGGGGGGACUACUUACAGGGGAAAGGCACAUAGUAAUGAAAACAGAUGAACUACAACUACAGGUAUCAACACAGAUGAACCUCAAGAACAUAAUGCUCAGCCAAAAAACGAACUCUUGCAAGACUAUGUAUUAGCUACCUAAUGCUGUGUAACAAAUCGCCCCAAACAACAGACUUCUAUUAUCACACAGUUUCUGUAGGUUAGGAAUCCAGAUGUGGCUUAACUGGUAAAGAAGAGACUCUCUUCUUCAGGGCCUCUCACAGAGCUGCCAUCAAAGUCUUGGCCCAGGCUGGGGUGUCAUCUCAAGGCUAGACUGGGGAGGGGUCCUCCAGGGUCAUCUGCUUGUUGUAGCAUCCAGUUACUUGUGGCCAUGGGACUGAGGCUUCAACUGCAUGCUGGCUGCCGGGGGAGGCCACCCUCAGUUCCUUGCCACAUGGCCUCUCUAUAUGGCAGCCUGCUCCACCACAGCCAGCAGGGGAGACCAUCUGUUGUCAAGGAAGAAGUUCUAAGCCCACAUAAUGUAAUCACGGGAGGAAGGCACAGCAUCAACUUGGAUGCAUCCUACUGGUUAGAAGCAAGUUGCUAGCUCGGCUCACGCCAAAGGGAGGGGACUUCACAGGAUGUGAACACCAGGAGGUGUGGAUCACUGAAGGCCAUCUCAGAGUCUGCCAGCCACAAAAGAUACUGCAUGAUUCCAUGUACAUAAAAGUUAAAAACAAAAACAAACGAUGUUGCUUAGAAACACAACCCCAUGUGAUAAAACUAAAAAACAGCAGAGAAUGACAACUGCGAAAUUCAGGACAGGGACUCCCUCAAAUGCUUCAGGUUUAUCUGAUAAACACAUUUUUGCAGGAAGGGGAGAGGAUCGGGAGCUGGAAGCUGGGAUUGGGAGGGGCAAAGGGAAUUUCAAAGUUAAGUUCCAUUUCUUGGCCUGAGUAGUGGCUACACAAGUGUUCAUUGUUUUUGUGAUUGUGUAAACAUUCCCAAAUAUUUUCAAAUAUUACCUGUAUCUACUCAAAGUUCAGGGACCACAUGGCUUGCUCCCUUAGCACCCCACAGAACAGUGAGGACAGGGGCUCUGCACCCUGUGAAACCUCAAGAAAUGCAGCAGAUGCCUCCCUGGCAUCCCCGCCUCCACCUUGCCCUGCAAAGAAACGCACCAGCUCUGACCGAGAAGCAUGUCCGGCACCCAGAAAUCCUGCUGUCUCUCCUCGCCAAACCAAAUGCAAAAGCCUCCAGCCUGAC
RNAcentral lists this long non-coding RNA (1462 nucleotides) under Homo sapiens (human). RNAcentral describes it as "HSALNT0309574". Lineage: Eukaryota; Metazoa; Chordata; Mammalia; Primates; Hominidae. The record is from RNAcentral.